GAUGAAGAACGUAGCGAAAUGCGAUAAGUAAUGUGAAUUGCAGAAUUCAGUGAAUCAUCGAAUCUUUGAACGCACAUUGCGCCCGCCAGUAUUCUGGCGGGCAUGCCUGUUCGAGCGUCAUUUCAACCAUCAAGCCCCCGGCUUGUGUUGGGGACCUGCGGCUGCCGCAGGCCCUGAAAACCAGUGGCGGGCUCGCUAGUCACUCCGAGCGUAGUAAUACAUCUCGCUCAGGGCGUGCUGCGGGUUCCGGCCGUUAAAAAGCCUUAUUUACCCAAGGUUGACCUCAAAUCAGGUAGGACUACCCGCUGAACUUAAGCAUAUCAAUAAGCGGAGGA
Molecule: unclassified non-coding RNA, 335 nt
Filed under: soil metagenome
Description: partial contains 5.8S ribosomal RNA, internal transcribed spacer 2, and large subunit ribosomal RNA
Rfam family: 5.8S ribosomal RNA (bases 1-120)
Source: RNAcentral